This 190-nucleotide unclassified non-coding RNA is filed under the name Weissella viridescens. RNAcentral's name for it is "T-box". Lineage: Bacteria; Bacillati; Bacillota; Bacilli; Lactobacillales; Lactobacillaceae. The record is from RNAcentral.
GAAUAGUCAGUGAACAAAGCAGAUUAGUCUCUAUUUAAUUUAAAAGAAUAGGCAGAGAGCUCGGAUGGUGGAAAAGAGCAAAUUAAAGGACUAAGUGGAACUUUGGGAGAUCAAGACAAUAAUCUUGGAAUUAAGUUGCUCAACCUAGGUUGAGAAAUAGGGUGGAACCGCGUUAAUUAACGUCCCUAUG